This 60-nucleotide small RNA is filed under the name bovine gut metagenome. Its description in RNAcentral is "cow-rumen-1 RNA". It matches the Rfam family "cow-rumen-1 RNA". From Rfam's summary of the family: cow rumen metagenome. Environment (Cow rumen (57)) The record is from RNAcentral.
UCACUGGUCACCGCGUUAGAGUUUGACGGUAUAAAUCCAGCACCGGACACGACAAAGAGG